ACAGUCGCACAUUUUCUACCAAGCCUAUCUAUCUGUAUUUGAAUAGCUUUUGACGUGAUGUCAUUUCGGAGUAACAUGACAGCAAAUAGGACCCAGCAGAGCUCUCCGGCGAACCUCACCUGUUCCCAAACGCACUUUUACUUUUCUACCUGAAGUCUCCUGCAUAAUACCGACAUCUGUCAGGCUUAAAGAUAACGGCAUGUUUUCUGCACUGCUCUGCAGUUUGUUGCUCCUGCACGGCUCGCUCGGGGAGAUCGUGUUCCGCUGCCCGAGCUGCACCGCGGAGCGCCAGGCGGCGUGUCCCAAGCUCACCACCUCUUGCGAGAUUGUCAGGGAACCGGGUUGCGGUUGCUGUCCGGUUUGUGCCAGGCAGAAGGGCGAGCUGUGCGGAGUCUACACGCCGAGAUGCGGCAGCGGUUUGAGGUGUUACCCAAGCGCCAAUUCAGAGUUACCGCUGGAGCAGCUGAUACAGGGACUCGGGCGAUGCGAGAACAAAGUAGACCUGGAGCCCACCAUGACCAACCAGGAGUCAUGGCACAGCGGAGAAGUAAAUAGCACACGGUUCCCUCCAGUGAAGAAGCCUGGCAAAGAAAACAACUACCAGCACAUUAAGGAAAUAGCUGUGAAGCAGCAUCACAACAACAAGAGGACCAGGAUGUACAGCUCCCUGGAUGAUCCCAAAACACCUCACUCCAGACAGAGCCAGUGUCAACAGGAGCUGGAUAGAGUUUUGGAGAACAUCUCCCGAAUUACAUUCCAUGACAACAAGGGACCUUUGGAAAAUCUUUAUGACCUGAAGUUCCCCAACUGUGACAAGACAGGACAGUACAACCUUAAGCAGUGCAACAUGUCCAGCCAUGGACAGAGGGGCGAGUGUUGGUGUGUCAACCCUUACACUGGUGUCCAGAUACCCUCAUCCCCCAAAGUGAGGGGGGACCCCAACUGCAGCCAAUACUACGGUGGUCCUGAGCUGGAACCGCCCACCAGCCAGCAGAAAUAGAUGCACCCUUGCCCAUAAGGAAGAUGCCCCGGGUUGCAAACGAGGAGAGUUAAAGCGAGUGCCAGAGCGAUGUGCAUGUGUGUAAUUCUGUACGUGUAUGUGUAUGUAUAUUUUCGCAAUAGUAUGAUCUGUGUUGUCGAUAGGAAUGUGGAAAGUCACAUGCCAGCAAAGACAAGCAAGUCAAGGACAGUUGCUUCAGACUGAGAGGUGCCAUGUACGUGAGUUGCUAUACGGUGUUACUGCAAAUAGCUGCCCCAUCUAACCAAUUGGAGUGCAAGGUACAAUAGUCCCGAAAUGUCAAACAAUUGCUAAAUUAAAAAUGAGGCCCCUUUUUGACACAUAUUACUGAUCUUCAUUACGCAUCAUUUAUUUUGAAAUGGAAGUGUGUUUUUACAAUCAAUAAUUGCAGUCGCUUCCAAAGAUCUCAAGAUCUGGAAAACCCUGUUCUUGGUGACUGAUAGACCUCUGUUCAUGCUGCUUCUCUACCAUUUGGUGUAUGUGUGUGUUUAUAGAGUGGGGAUCAGCAUUUACUAAUGAUGCGCUGACAGAGGGCUAGAUUAGAACACAAGGCUGACAUUGAUAAAUGUGAUAUAAAGUGGGUUAAGUGCCUAUAAAUAAACACAGGUUUGCCUGCAGUGCCAGCGGCUGUGCCUCACCUUGCUUCACUCUCAUCUGCAGAGGGAUGUGUUGGCGGUAGGUAAGGGUGAUUUUGCCCAGUGUAACACUUGAACGGGGUUAGUUGGAGAGUCCUGUGAAGGAAUG
Carassius carassius (crucian carp) is the source of this 1762-nucleotide RNA transcript. It is a transcript of the gene named insulin-like growth factor binding protein 2b, with no coding region annotated. The transcript has 5 exons. Lineage: Eukaryota; Metazoa; Chordata; Actinopteri; Cypriniformes; Cyprinidae. The record is from RefSeq and is a predicted model, not a curated record.